Molecule: small nuclear RNA, 105 nt
Filed under: Moschus moschiferus (Siberian musk deer)
Lineage: Eukaryota; Metazoa; Chordata; Mammalia; Artiodactyla; Moschidae
Source: RNAcentral
UUGCUUUGGUAGCACAAAUAUUAAAAAAUUGGAAAUAUACUGAGCAGAUUAGCACGGCCCCAGCCAAAGGAUGACACACAAAUUUGUGAAUCUUUCCAUAUUUUU